CCUACGGGUGGCUGCAGUGGGGAAUAUUGGACAAUGGGGGCAACCCUGAUCCAGCCAUGCCGCGUGUGUGAAGAAGGCCCUCGGGUUGUAAAGCACUUUCAGUGAGGAAGAACGCCUGGUGGUUAAUACCCAUCAGGAAAGACAUCACUCACAGAAGAAGCACCGGCUAACUCCGUGCCAGCAGCCGCGGUAAUACGGAGGGUGCGAGCGUUAAUCGGAAUUACUGGGCGUAAAGCGCGCGUAGGUGGCUUGAUAAGCCGGUUGUGAAAGCCCCGGGCUCAACCUGGGAACGGCAUCCGGAACUGUCAAGCUAGAGUGCAGGAGAGGAAGGUAGAAUUCCCGGUGUAGCGGUGAAAUGCGUAGAGAUCGGGAGGAAUACCAGUGGCGAAGGCGGCCUUCUGGACUGACACUGACACUGAGGUGCGAAAGCGUGGGUAGCAAACAGGAUUAGUACCCCUGUAGUC
RNAcentral lists this ribosomal RNA (464 nucleotides) under Vreelandella stevensii. RNAcentral describes it as "partial 16S ribosomal RNA". It matches the Rfam family "Bacterial small subunit ribosomal RNA", at positions 338 to 795 of the family's 1533-position model. Lineage: Bacteria; Pseudomonadati; Pseudomonadota; Gammaproteobacteria; Oceanospirillales; Halomonadaceae. The record is from RNAcentral.